CCUACGGGAGGCAGCAGUGGGGAAUAUUGCACAAUGGGCGCAAGCCUGAUGCAGCCAUGCCGCGUGUAUGAAGAAGGCCUUCGGGUUGUAAAGUACUUUCAGCGGGGAGGCGUUACCCGCAGAAGAAGCACCGGCUAACUCCGUGCCAGCAGCCGCGGUAAUACGGAGGGUGCAAGCGUUAAUCGGAAUUACUGGGCGUAAAGCGCACGCAGGCGGUCUGUUAAGUCAGAUGUGAAAUCCCCGGGCUCAACCCGGGAACUGCAUUUGAAACUGGCAGGCUUGAGUCUCGUAGAGGGGGGUAGAAUUCCAGGUGUAGCGGUGAAAUGCGUAGAGAUCUGGAGGAAUACCGGUGGCGAAGGCGGCCCCCUGGACGAGCUGACGCUCAGGUGCGAAAGCGUGGGGAGCAAACAGGAUUAGAUACCCUUGUAGUC
Molecule: ribosomal RNA, 431 nt
Filed under: uncultured bacterium
Lineage: Bacteria
Description: partial 16S ribosomal RNA
Rfam family: Bacterial small subunit ribosomal RNA
Source: RNAcentral